Molecule: ribosomal RNA, 414 nt
Filed under: uncultured bacterium
Lineage: Bacteria
Description: bacterial SSU rRNA
Rfam family: Bacterial small subunit ribosomal RNA
Source: RNAcentral
GAUGAACGCUGGCGGCGUGCCUAACACAUGCAAGUCGAGCGAUUCUCUUCGGAGAAGAGCGGCGGACGGGUGAGUAACGCGUGGGUAACCUGCCCUGUACACACGGAUAACAUACCGAAAGGUAUGCUAAUACGAGAUAAUAUGCUUUUAUCGCAUGGUAGAAGUAUCAAAGCUUUUGCGGUACAGGAUGGACCCGCGUCUGAUUAGCUAGUUGGUAAGGUAACGGCUUACCAAGGCGACGAUCAGUAGCCGGCCUGAGAGAGCGACCGGCCACAUUGGGACUGAGACACGGCCCAAACUCCUACGGGAGGCAGCAGUGGGGAAUAUUGCACAAUGGGCGAAAGCCUGAUGCAGCGACGCCGCGUGAGCGAUGAAGUAUUUCGGUAUGUAAAGCUCUAUCAGCAGGGAAGAAAA